UUUUAGCCCAGAUAGCAGCGACAUCCUUUUCUUGUUCCGUUUUUUUUAACGGAACAAGAAAAGAUAUAGCGUAUAGCUGGAAUAGCU
RNAcentral lists this small RNA (87 nucleotides) under Flavobacterium sinopsychrotolerans. RNAcentral describes it as "Flavo-1 RNA". It matches the Rfam family "Flavo-1 RNA". The record is from RNAcentral. Lineage: Bacteria; Pseudomonadati; Bacteroidota; Flavobacteriia; Flavobacteriales; Flavobacteriaceae.